CAGCGGAGGGACAUUA
This 16-nucleotide ribosomal RNA is filed under the name Trichoderma vadicola. Its description in RNAcentral is "Trichoderma sp. GZ-2018c partial 18S ribosomal RNA". The record is from RNAcentral. Lineage: Eukaryota; Fungi; Ascomycota; Sordariomycetes; Hypocreales; Hypocreaceae.